GAUGAACGCUGGCGGCGUGCUUAACACAUGCAAGUCGAACGGUGAAGCAGGAGCUUGCUCUUGUGGAUCAGUGGCGAACGGGUGAGUAACACGUGAGCAACCUGCCCCUGACUCUGGGAUAAGCGCUGGAAACGGCGUCUAAUACUGGAUAUGUGAUGUGACCGCAUGGUCUGCAUCUGGAAAGAAUUUCGGUUGGGGAUGGGCUCGCGGCCUAUCAGCUUGUUGGUGAGGUAAUGGCUCACCAAGGCGUAUGCGGGUAGCCGGCCUGAGAGGGUGACCGGCCACACUGGGACUGAGACACGGCCCAGACUCCUACGGUCGGCAGCAGUGGGGAAGAUUGCACAAUGGGCGGGAGACUGAUGCAGCAACGCCGCGUGAGGGAUGACGGCCUUCGGGUUGUAAACCUCUUUUAGCAGGGAAGAAGCGAAAGUGACGGUACCUGCAGAAAAAGCACCGGCUAACUACGUGCCAGCCGCCGCGGUAA
RNAcentral lists this ribosomal RNA (484 nucleotides) under uncultured bacterium. RNAcentral describes it as "partial 16S ribosomal RNA". It matches the Rfam family "Bacterial small subunit ribosomal RNA", at positions 28 to 523 of the family's 1533-position model. The record is from RNAcentral.